RNAcentral lists this ribosomal RNA (588 nucleotides) under Pseudoplagiostoma sp. RNAcentral describes it as "eukaryotic LSU rRNA". Lineage: Eukaryota; Fungi; Ascomycota; Sordariomycetes; Diaporthales; Pseudoplagiostomataceae. The record is from RNAcentral.
UCUCCGUUGGUGAACCAGCGGAGGGAUCAUUGCUGGAAGCGUCUCACGGCGCACCCAGAUACCCUUUGUGAACCUAUACCCUUCUGUUGCCUCGGCGCAGGCUGGGCGCUUCCACACGCCCCCACGCAGGCCUCAACCCCCUGUGCGGAGCCAGCCGGCCGGUGGCCCACAACCAAACUCUUGUUUUUACAACCCGUCUCUCUGAGCAACCAAAACAAAUGAAUCAAAACUUUCAACAACGGAUCUCUUGGUUCUGGCAUCGAUGAAGAACGCAGCGAAAUGCGAUAAGUAAUGUGAAUUGCAGAAUUCAGUGAAUCAUCGAAUCUUUGAACGCACAUUGCGCCCGCUGGUAUUCCAGCGGGCAUGCCUGUUCGAGCGUCAUUUCACCCCUCAAGCUCCGCUUGGUGUUGGGGCACUGCCGCGCCGCUUCGGCGAGGCAGGCCMCCAAAUGCAGUGGCGGGCUCGCCAGGACUCCGAGCGUAGUAGUUAUUCACCUCGCUAUGGACGGACUGGCGGUGCUUUGCCGUUAAACCCCCCAAUUUCUGAAAAGUUGACCUCGGAUCAGGUAGGAAUACCCGCUGAACUUAA